This 468-nucleotide ribosomal RNA is filed under the name uncultured bacterium. RNAcentral describes it as "partial 16S ribosomal RNA". It matches the Rfam family "Bacterial small subunit ribosomal RNA", at positions 28 to 507 of the family's 1533-position model. The record is from RNAcentral.
GACGAACGCUGGCGGCGUGCUUAACACAUGCAAGUCGAACGGAAAGGCCCUGCUUUUGUGGGUUUCUCGAGUGGCGAACGGGUGAGUAACACGUGAGUAACCUGCCCUUGACUUUGGGAUAACUUCAGGAAACUGGGGCUCAUACCGGAUAGGAGCUCCUGCUGCAUGGUGUGCGUUGGAAAGUUUCGGCGGUUGGGGAUGGACUCGCGGCUUAUCAGCUUGUUGGUGGGGUAGUGGCUUACCAAGGCUUUGACGGGUAGCCGGCCUGAGAGGGGGACCGGGCACAAUGGGACUGCGAGACGGAGCAGAAUGGUAAGGGGGGCAGCAGUGGGGAGUAUUGCACAAUGGGCGGAAGCCUGAGGCAGAGACGCCGCGUGCGGGAUGACGGCCUUCUGGUUGUAAACCGAUUUCGACUGUGACGAAGAGUGAGUGACGGUAAUGGGUAAAGAAGCACCGGCUAACUACGUG